CCUACGGGAGGCAGCAGUAGGGAAUCUUCCGCAAUGGGCGAAAGCCUGACGGAGCAACGCCGCGUGAGUGAUGAAGGGUUUCGGCUCGUAAAACUCUGUUAUUAGGGAAGAACAAAUGCGUAAGUAACUGUGCACAUCUUGACGGUACCUAAUCAGAAAGCCACGGCUAACUACGUGCCAGCAGCCGCGGUAAU
RNAcentral lists this ribosomal RNA (194 nucleotides) under uncultured Staphylococcus sp. RNAcentral describes it as "partial 16S ribosomal RNA". It matches the Rfam family "Bacterial small subunit ribosomal RNA", at positions 338 to 524 of the family's 1533-position model. Lineage: Bacteria; Bacillati; Bacillota; Bacilli; Caryophanales; Staphylococcaceae. The record is from RNAcentral.